UACCUGGUUGAUCCUGCCAGUAGUCAUAUGGCUUG
Molecule: ribosomal RNA, 35 nt
Filed under: Merianthera bullata
Lineage: Eukaryota; Viridiplantae; Streptophyta; Magnoliopsida; Myrtales; Melastomataceae
Also listed under: 1 other name
Description: partial 18S small subunit ribosomal RNA
Source: RNAcentral